Molecule: ribosomal RNA, 492 nt
Filed under: uncultured bacterium
Lineage: Bacteria
Description: partial 16S ribosomal RNA
Rfam family: Bacterial small subunit ribosomal RNA
Source: RNAcentral
AGUGAACGCUGGCGGUAGGCCUAACACAUGCAAGUCGAACGGCAGCACAGUAAGAGCUUGCUCUUACGGGUGGCGAGUGGCGGACGGGUGAGGAAUACAUCGGAAUCUACUUUUUCGUGGGGGAUAACGUAGGGAAACUUACGCUAAUACCGCAUACGACCUACGGGUGAAAGCAGGGGAUCUUCGGACCUUGCGCGAUUGAAUGAGCCGAUGUCGGAUUAGCUAGUUGGCGGGGUAAGGGCCCACCAAGGCGACGAUGCGUAGCUGGUCUGAGAGGAUGAUCAGCCACACUGGAACUGAGACACGGUCCAGACUCCUACGGGAGGCAGCAGUGGGGAAUAUUGGACAAUGGGCGCAAGCCUGAUCCAGCCAUACCGCGUGGGUGAAGAAGGCCUUCGGGUUGUAAAGCCCUUUUGUUGGGAAAGAAAAGCAGCAGGUUAAUACCCCGCUGUUCUGACGGUACCCAAAGAAUAAGCACCGGCUAACUUCGUG